UCUGGAGACAGGUGCUGCAUGGCCGUCGUCAGCUCGUGUCGUGAGAUGUGGGUUAAGUCCGCAACGAGCGCAACCCUUGCCUUUAGUUGCCAGCAGUUCGGGCUGGGCACUCUAAAGGGACUGCCGGUGUUAAACCGGAGGAAGGUGGGGAGUGACGUCAAGUCCUCAUGGCCUUUAUGACCAGGGCUACACACGUACUACAAUGGCCGAUACAAAGGGCAGCGACACUGCGAGGGUGAAGCCAAUCCCGUAAAAAUCGGUCUCAGUCCGGAUUGGAGUCUGCAACUCGACUCCAUGAAGUUGGAAUCGCUAGUAAUCGUGGAUCAGCAUGCCACGGUGAAUACGUUCCCGGGCCUU
RNAcentral lists this ribosomal RNA (357 nucleotides) under uncultured Desulfobulbus sp. RNAcentral describes it as "bacterial SSU rRNA". It matches the Rfam family "Bacterial small subunit ribosomal RNA", at positions 1027 to 1382 of the family's 1533-position model. The record is from RNAcentral. Lineage: Bacteria; Pseudomonadati; Thermodesulfobacteriota; Desulfobulbia; Desulfobulbales; Desulfobulbaceae.